RNAcentral lists this ribosomal RNA (253 nucleotides) under uncultured bacterium. RNAcentral describes it as "partial 16S ribosomal RNA". It matches the Rfam family "Bacterial small subunit ribosomal RNA", at positions 524 to 776 of the family's 1533-position model. The record is from RNAcentral.
GACGAACCGUCCUAACGUUGUUCGGAUUCACUGGGCUUAAAGGGCGCGUAGGCGGGUGAGCAAGUCCGGGGUGAAAUCUUUCGGCUUAACCGGAAAACUGCCUUGGAUACUGCUCGUCUAGAGGGAGGUAGGGGUCUGCGGAACUUCCGGUGGAGCGGUGAAAUGCGUUGAUAUCGGAAGGAACGCCGGUGGCGAAAGCGGCGGACUGGACCUCUUCUGACGCUGAGGCGCGAAAGCCAGGGGAGCAAACGGG